This is a long non-coding RNA of Humulus lupulus (European hop), 276 nucleotides long. RefSeq lists it as uncharacterized. The record is from RefSeq and is a predicted model, not a curated record. NCBI's taxonomy places the organism in Eukaryota, Viridiplantae, Streptophyta, Magnoliopsida, Rosales, Cannabaceae. The transcript has 3 exons.
UAUUUUAUUAUUCAUCAUUCUACUAAAUGAUAUACUGUGCAUUUCAAGGAAAGCUAACACUUAAUUUUUUUUAAAAAUAAUAAUAUGAGCAGCUGACAGUGAGAGACGAUUGUGUAAUUGAUGAGGAAAUGUUGUUGAUCUUAAGGUCCUCUUGAUUGGAGAAGAGGUUGGGGAAUACCAAGAAGCAUACAAGAUAUUCAAAGGUCUUUUGGACAAGUAUGGCCCUGACAGAGUUCUUGAUACUCCAAUCCCAGAGGUACGUUUUGUUACUUGCCA